CAAUCCCCAGUACCAAAAAAAAAUAAAACAGGCCCAGGGAUUUAGCUCAGUGGUUCCAGCGUCUGCCUCGCAAGCUCAAGGUCCCUAGUUCGAUCCCCAGUACCAAAAAAAAAAAAGUCUCCAUGGAAAGGGUUGCAAAGCAAACAAAAACAGCAGUUGCCUGUUAAGAUCUCACCCCCUCCAGCUCAGCCUUACCUUUCUCAUCUACAAUAUUUUCUGUGUUCCAAACCUAUUCCAGUUUCCAUGUGUUGGCCCAUUUAACAUAUUCAUGACGGGGCCAUAAUUCAUAUGUCUCACUUCUGGGCAACUCUGAAUCACUAGUGGUACAUGCAUGGCUGUCACAUUGGACAGUAUGGGACAGUCCCAUUGGAUGGUACAAGCCACCUGAUGGGACAGUCAUGCAUGUACCACCAGUGGCUCAACCCAACAGGAACAUGUUAAUCUUGGUAAGAUCCGAGAUAACAGAAAACUUGCCUUAGAGACAGAUUCUUUGGUAUCCUCCCUUUGACAGUUGAGGUAACCUGUUGAGUGUCCAUACAGCUGUGGUGGACUAACUGGGGCAGCUGGACUCCAACCUCUCCUUCCAACCACUGUUCUAUAGCUACUAUUUUUAAGGUAUAUUUACAUAUUUCUAUGUGUAUAAAAUUAUAUAUUAUUGAUGUAAAUGAACUGCAAAAUUUGGUAAGUUGACACAUCCAUGAAACCAUCACCAAAAUUAGUUUAGAAAAAACAGCCAAGUUUUCUCAUUCCCCUCUAACCUCCUGCUACCCCAAAGCAGCCACUCAUCAGCUUUCUGUCAUUGUAAAUAAGUUUGCAUUUGAAGUCUGACUUUUCAUUCAGCAUACUUAGUCCAUCCCUUUUUUUUUUUUUUACUUAGAAGUAGUAUUCCAUUGUGUGGAGUUUAUGUACUUAUCCUUUCCUGGACAUUUGAGUUUCCCAUUUUAGCUAUUACAGAUAAAGUUACUACUACCAAGGGAAGCAGUGAAAUGGCUGGAUCUUGAGGUAAGUGUAUGUUUAACCCAAAUGAUCAAGCUCUUUCCUAAGGUACUUGCAUCAUACUAUGUAUCAUAUACAUCAUGUCUCAUGAUUUUAAUUUAUAUUUCCCUAGUAACAAAUAAUAUUGAGGAUCUUUUCAUGUGCUUAUUAUCAUUCAUGUAUCUUCUUUGGUGAAGUGUCUGUUGAAAUCUUUUGUCCACUUUUUAUUAGAUGAUUUGGGUUUAGUUUUGAGAAUUCUUUACAUUUUGUCUGUACACGUCAUUUAUCAAAUGCUUUGCAAAGAUUUUUUUCUCAGUCUAUGGCUACGACUUGUGUUUUUGUUGUUUUGUUUCAUUUUGUUUGUUUGCAGUACUGGGGAUUGAUCCCAAGGACUUUGCACCAAGCUGCGUCCCCAGCCCUUUUGUUAUUUUUUUCACUUUUUUUUUUUUUUUUGCUUGUGAGGCAGGCGGCAGAACCACUGAGCUAAAUCCUUGGCCCUGUUAUUUUUUGUUUGAGACAGGGUCUCACUGAGUUUUCUAGGCUGGUUAUCCUUACCCUUUUGCCUUUGUGCCUUUGACAAAAAAUCAGUAAUCCAGGGCCGGGGCCAGGGAUUUAGCUCAGUGGUUCUGUCACCUGCCUUGCAAGCGCAAGGUCCUGAGUUCGAUCCCCAGUACAAAAAAAAAAAGUUAUACUCAUAUGAGUGAAUUUACUUCUAGAAUUUCUAUUCUGUUCCAUUGAUGUUUGUCUACUUGUAUGCUGAUACCUGUUUUUAGUACUACAGCUUUAUAAUAAUUCUUAAAAUCAAUUGCUGCUACCCUGUAAUUUUGUUUUCAGAGUUGAUUUGACCAUUUCAGGCGUUUCGCAUUUCCACAUGAGUCUUUGAAUCAUCUUGUUGAUUUCUACAAAAACUUGCUGAGGGCCAGGGAUGUAGCUCAGUGGCACUGUGCCUUCCUGGCAAGCGCGGGGUCCUGAGUUCAAUACCUGGUACCAAAAAAAAAAAAAGAGAGACUUGUUGGAAUUGUGUCAAAUCUCCCAACCCAUGAGCAAGUUAUACUUCUCCAUUUAUUUAAGUCACAUUUACUUUCUCUCAAAUAUUUUAUAUCUUUAGCGCCUAGGUUUUUCACAUCUUUAUUUUAUCCCCAGUACUAGGCAUUGAACCUAGGCCUUUGUACUCAGCCACAUCCCCAGACCUUCUAUUUUGAGAUAGGGUCUUGCUAAAUAAUCCAUGCUGGGCUCAAAUUUGUGAUCCUCUUGCCUCAGCCUCCCAGAGUGCUGGGAUUACAGGUAUGUGCCACCAGUUUUUCACAUCUUUUGUCAGACUUAAUCCCUAAAUAUUUCAUUAUUUUUGUGCUAUUAUAAAUGGUAUGGCUUUAUUUCUGAUUUUUCAUUGCUAGUAUAUAGAAAUGCAAUUGAUUUUUUAACAUUGAUCUUAUCCUAAAACCUUGCUGAACUCACUUUUUAGUUUCUAACAACUUUUUUAUAGAUUCCACAUUUUCUACAUAGGGGAUCAUGUUGAAUGUGAAUAAAAAGUUUUACAUCCUUUCCAGCCUAGAUACCUUCUAUUUCUUGCUCAAUUGUACUGGUUGCAACUUCCAAUACAGUGCUAAAUGGCGAAUAUCCCUAUCUUUAAUUUGCUCUUUUCUAGUUACUUAAGAUGGAAAUUGAGGCUGGGGAUUUGCCUCAGUGGUUCUGUCACCUGCCUCGAAAGCACAAGGUCCCAAGUUCAAUCCCCAGUACCACAAAAAAAAAAAGAUGGAAAUUGAGUGCACACCUGUAACCUCAGCACUCAGGAGGCUGAGGCAGGAGGAUUGUGGGUCAUUUUGACCAUGAGAAAGAGCCAGUAGACACGUGGUGCCAGAUCCAGUGAAUAAGGUGGAUGAAGUCACACCAUAAUGUCUACAACCCUGUCUUUCUGUUGGAUGGCACUCAGCCAAGCAUUCACCAUAUGUUUGAUCCAUACCUCUUAAAGACAUUGACAAAAGAACUUCAGAACUGCUUCAGAAAUUACAAGAACAGGGCUGGGGAUUUAUCUCAGUUGUGCCGCACCCGCCUCACAAGCACAAGGCCCUGAGUUCAAUCCCUGGUAGGGUGUGGGGUGCGGGGGUGGGGGGAGACACUAGAAUACAUGUGUUUGGGGGACCUUUAAGGGGGUUAGUGGCAAUAUGCCUUUUACCCUAAUGAUUUUUUAAAACUUAAGCACCAUACUUUUUGAUCAUCUGUAUAAUCUUAUUUGUUUUAUUCCUUUUCUGCUUGCUUUUGGGUAAAUUAAGUAUGCUUUGUGAUCCCAAUUUUAUCUCUUCCAUUGGCUUGUAAUUUUUUUUGUUUUAUUACUCUAGUAGUUGCUUUAGGGUUUAUAGUAUACAUCUUUAACUUAUUUAUUUUGUUUUGUUUUGUUUGGUACCGGGGAUCAAACUCAGGCCAUUGUGCUUUUGAGGCAGGCGACAGAACCACUGAGCUAAAUCCCCACCCUAUACAUCUUUAACUUAACCACAGUCUACCUUCAAGAAAUAUACCACUUCAUAUAUAGUUUUAAAACCUUGUAAUUGGGCUGGGGAUUUAGCUCAGUGGUUCAGGCGCCUGCCUCGCAAGCUCAAGGUCCCGAGUUCGAUCCCCGGUACCAAAAACAAACAAAAAAACCGUAUAAUAAUAUGUUUCCAUUUCUUUCCUCCUUGCCUUUAUAUUAAGAUGGUCAUAUUUUACAUGACUUACUAAUUCCAUCGUACAUUAUUAUUUUUACACAGUUGUCUUUCAAGAAUUUAAAAUAACAAGAAAAAUCUUACAUAUGUACCCAGGUAAUUACCAUUUCCAGUGAUCUCCAAUCCUUUGUAUACAGAUUUCCAUCUGGUGUAUAUUUUCCAUCUGACUGAACAUUUCUUGUAGUAGGGACCUGCUGGUGAUUAAUUUUCAGCUUUUGUAUGUCUAAAAUGUCUCAGAUUUGUCUUUGAAAGGUAUUUUUUGCUGAGAAUAAAAUUCUAGGUUGACAGAUUUUUUUCUUUCCUAGUACUUUAAAGAUGUUAUUUCACUUGCAUUGCUUAAAAUAGAAAAUUUGAUAUUGUCUUUGUUUCUUCUAUAUGUAAAAAGUCUUUUCUGUCUGACUGACCUUAAGGUUUUCAAUAUGUCACUGGUUUUAAACCAUUGGAUUAUGAGUUACCUAGAUGGAUGGUUGCUUGUUUGUUUGAAACGGGAUCUUACAAUACAGUUCAGGCUGGCCUUGAACUCACUAGGUAGUCCAUGCUGGCCUCAAGAUCCUCCUCCCUCACCCUUCUGAAUGCUGAGAUUAUAGGCAUACGUCAUCAUGCCUGGCUAGAGUUGUUUGUUUGGGGGGUUUUUGUUUGUUUGUUUGGGUUUUUUGUUUGUUUGUUUCUUGUGCUUAGGAUUUGUUGAGCUUCUUGGAUCCAUAAUUUCCAUUAAGUCUGGAAUAUUUUUGGCUAUUAUUUUUUCAAAUGUUUUCUCUUAUUCCCUUCAUUAGUUCUGAUUAUCUGUAUGUUAGCCAAAGGGAAGCUGUCUUAUAUCCCAAAUUGAAACUCUCCCCAUUAAAUAGUAACUCCUAGCCACUCUCCCCUAGCCCCUGGUAACCAGUAUUCUACUUUCUGUCUCUGGGAAUUUGACUAUUCUAGGUACCUCCUAUGAGUGGGGUAAUAUUUGCCUUUUUAUACCUGCCUCAUUUCACUUAGCAUAAUGUCUAUAAAGUUCAUCCAUGUUGUAGCAUGUGUCAGAAUUUCAUUUUUAAAGCUGAAUAAUAUUUGAUUAUAUGCAUAUACCCUAUGUUGUUUUUCCAUUUAUCCAUCAAGAAAUGUUGGGGUUGUUUUCACCUUUUGGCUAUUGGGAAAAGUUCUGCUGUGAACAUUGGUAUAAAAAUACCCGUUUGAGUCCCUGCUGUCAAGUUUUUGACGUGUACACUCAGGAGUAUAUUGCUGGAUCAUAUGAUUAUUUAAUUUUUUUGAGGAACUGCCAUAUUAUUUUCCACAUGGCUGCACCACUUUAUAUUCUCUUCAGCAAUGUUCAAGAGCUUCAAGUCUUCCACAGCUUCACCAAUACUUGUUAUUUGCUUUUACUGAUAAUACCCAACCUAGUGGGUAUAUGGCUUUGAUUUGCAUUUACCUAAUAUUAAUGAUGUUGAGCAGAUUUCAUGUGUAUAUUGGCCAUCUGUAUACCUUUUUUUGAAAACUGUUUAAUUGGAUUUUUUUUUUGCUGAGCUAUAUAGGUACUUUAUAUAGUAUGAAUCUUCUUUCAUUCUGUGGGUUGCCUUUUCACUUUUAUGAGUGUGUCCUUUCAUAUGCAGAAGUUUAAUUUUGAUGAAGCCUAAUUUAUCUAUUUUUUUUCUUUUGUUGCUUGUACUUUUGGUGUUAUUGCCAAAUUCAAUGUAAAAAAACCUUUCCCCCUAUAUUUUCUCCUAGGAAGUCUAUAGGUUUUGCAUUACAUAUAAGUCUUUGAUCUAUUGUGAA
Non-coding RNA from Heterocephalus glaber (naked mole-rat), 5420 nucleotides. Lineage: Eukaryota; Metazoa; Chordata; Mammalia; Rodentia; Bathyergidae. The record is from RefSeq and is a predicted model, not a curated record.